RNAcentral lists this ribosomal RNA (489 nucleotides) under Triticum aestivum (bread wheat). RNAcentral's name for it is "partial small subunit ribosomal RNA". The record is from RNAcentral. Lineage: Eukaryota; Viridiplantae; Streptophyta; Magnoliopsida; Poales; Poaceae.
AUGCCGCGCGGCCGCGACGAGCCGGCCGCCGUGCGCGUCUACACAGUAUGCGACGAGUCCAAGUACCUCAUCGUCCGGAACGUGCCUUCUCUCGGGUGCGGCGACGAGCUCGGCACCCUGUUCUCGUCGUACGGGCCGCUGGAAGAGUGCAAGCCCAUGGAUGCCGAGGACUGCGAGGAGUACACCGACGUCUUCUUCAUCAACUUCUCGCAGCUCAGCAACGCGAGGUUCGCAAAAAGGAAGUUAGAUGAGUCUGUAUUUCUUGGCAACCGGCUGCAGGUGUCAUAUGCACCUCAAUUUGAGAGUAUUUUGGAUACCAAGGAGAAACUGGAAGUCCGGAGAAACGAAGUCCUCAGCCGAAUAAGAUCCUCUGUUGGAAGCAGAUCAGAACGGUUAACUCAGUAUUCUCCAGGGCAGGGAUCUUCUAGUGGGAACUUGCAUCAUCAUAUGAGCCCCAAUAAGAGGACUAUUUUCCAUCCGAGUCGAUGA